CCCCCCCCCCCCCACCAAGCUGCCCACCAGAGGCUAAGCUGUACUUGGUGUUUGCCAACAUGCUGUAAUUUCCAGCCUGGUUGCUGUAGCCACAGAGGAAUUUUCAAGGACAAGAACCAGUGCUGGUAAAACUGUGGUCUCUGUGGUUUUCCAUACCGGCUCUCGGCAAGGAUUUUCAAGAAAGGAAUACCAUCUCCAAAUCAUGAUGUGCCAAUAAGCUCCAGUUAGCUGCGGCCUUUUCCCCAGGCGGUAGUCCUGCAAUCUGAACCAGGAGAUGCAGCUCUGAAUCCAAUAUUUCAGAAGAAUGAAGAUGAAGCAGACCCAGGAGGAACUGUCUGUUGAAGACCCCCCCCCCCCCCACCAAGCUGCCCACCAGAGGCUAAGCUGUACUUGGUGUUUGCCAACAUGCUGUAAUUUCCAGCCUGGUUGCUGUAGCCACAGAGGAAUUUUCAAGGACAAGAACCAGUGCUGGUAAAACUGUGGUCUCUGUGGUUUUCCAUACCGGCUCUCGGCAAGGAUUUUCAAGAAAGGAAUACCAUCUCCAAAUCAUGAUGUGCCAAUAAGCUCCAGUUAGCUGCGGCCUUUUCCCCAGGCGGUAGUCCUGCAAUCUGAACCAGGAGAUGCAGCUCUGAAUCCAAUAUUUCAGAAGAAUGAAGAUG
Molecule: long non-coding RNA, 659 nt
Organism: Mya arenaria
Lineage: Eukaryota; Metazoa; Mollusca; Bivalvia; Myida; Myidae
Exons: 6
Source: RefSeq, a predicted model, not a curated record